AAAACACGUCGCUCCUCCAGAGCAGAUUACACUGCAAAGUGCUUGUGCUGUUAUCUGCUCCACUUGAAACUUUAAAACGUCCCUGAUUCUGCUAAUUCGUGUAUGCCAUUUCUGCUUUGAACCCAUAAAUCUGGCUGCUGUAUUAGAGGCUGGCAUAGCACACAGUGUAAAAUGGAUUUAAGCUAGCAUUCUAAAUACCUAAACUGCACUGUGUUCAGUUUGCUAAGGACUACCUACAAAGUGGGACGAUAGGCAAUGUAAAGACCUCAGAACAAGCAAUAUUGGAUGCACGACUGCAAAUAGCAUGCACCCUACUGGAGUAUAAAGAUCAUCAUGGCUGAACAGGUGCUGGAAGAUGGAUGAGAAACACAAACCUGAAAUCUGAAAACCCAAGUUUAUUAACGGUUUUGAAAUUAAUGCGUACAUAUUGUACACGCCCUUUCCUGGACAGG
This is a long non-coding RNA of Rana temporaria (common frog), 452 nucleotides long. RefSeq lists it as uncharacterized. The transcript has 3 exons. The record is from RefSeq and is a predicted model, not a curated record. NCBI's taxonomy places the organism in Eukaryota, Metazoa, Chordata, Amphibia, Anura, Ranidae.